RNAcentral lists this ribosomal RNA (440 nucleotides) under uncultured bacterium. Its description in RNAcentral is "partial 16S ribosomal RNA". It matches the Rfam family "Bacterial small subunit ribosomal RNA", at positions 339 to 795 of the family's 1533-position model. The record is from RNAcentral.
CUACGGGGGGCUGCAGUCGAGAAUCUUCCGUAAUGCGCGAAAGCGUGACGGAGCAAUGCCGCGUGCAGGAUGACGGCCUUCGGGUUGUAAACUGCUGUCACUCGGGACGAAUUUUGACGGUACCGAGAGAGGAAGCCACGGCUAACUACGUGCCAGCAGCCGCGGUAAUACGUAGGUGGCGAGCGUUAUUCGGAUUUAUUGGGCGUAAAGGGUUCGUAGGCGGUUAAGUAAGUUUGAAGUGAAAUCUCAGGGCUCAACCCUGAAACUGCUUUGGAUACUGCUUGACUAGAGUAUUGGAGAGGUAAGCGGAAUUCCUGGUGUAGCGGUGGAAUGCGUAGAUAUCAGGAGGAACACCGACGGCGAAGGCAGCUUACUGGACAAUAACUGACGCUGAGGAACGAAAGCUAGGGUAGCAAACAGGAUUAGAUACCCUAGUAGUC